GUGGGAGGGGGCUUGCUCCCGAUGGCGGUGGUCAGUCACUUAUGUAUUAACUGACCCACCGCCAUCGGGAGCAAGCCCCCUCCCAC
RNAcentral lists this unclassified non-coding RNA (86 nucleotides) under Pseudomonas palleroniana. The record is from RNAcentral. Lineage: Bacteria; Pseudomonadati; Pseudomonadota; Gammaproteobacteria; Pseudomonadales; Pseudomonadaceae.